CGCGACCAAGCGUGAGGCUGAAUGAGAAGGGAAAGAGAGACAUCCAGCCGUUGCCAAGAGACGGACUGUUCUGACGCGCGCCCAGAUGGACCCGUCGCCCUGGUGACCGGGAAGGUGGGGUGACGUUUGCGCAGAGAGGAAGGAGAGGUGAAACAACCAUCCCCCUCAGCUUGAUUCACCACGUGAUCGUUUGUUAUCAUUGAGAGGGUCGCCCCUGCGGGAGCGCAGCUCCUAAGAUUAACCCUCCGCGCGCCGGCCCUCGGGCUGUGUUUGGUCCGCCGUACUUCCAAGGCCAGGCUGUUUGAAAGGUUUUGUGAAUGUACAUGACAUCUUCAGUGAUCACUCUACCGUAACUGUGGUUUUUGCAGAAGGAGUGGGGUAGUGCAUGGUUAUGUUGCAGCAGAGGAUGAGCAAAGAUUUGCUAUCAUCACAAGCUGGGAGGCAUGAGGUGGAGCCCUCAGAAGUUCUGCAACUUUGAAGAGAAUUUGUGACCUAUUUGGACGCUGCUGAUCUUCAUGCGUGCAAAAUGAAGAAAAUAUCAUUUCAGUAGCCAAAGUUGCCUAAUCUGUGGGAUUCACUAACUACUAAUCGAGAUCAAAUGUACUCGGGCAACAGAUAGAUUUCUUCCCCAGUAUGACUCGGAAGUCCCAUCCAACUACAAUGUCUGAAGAUCAGAUGCUCUUUCAGCCAUUUGAGGGAGGAAAUAAACAUGUAAACCAUAUUCAUUGUUCUUUAAAGUGAAAUCCAGAAGCUCUACAGUAGCUAUCUAUCUAUCUGUGCUCUCCUACCCAGCUUCAGGUAUCAUGUGAAUCCAACCACUUGGGCUGUGGAGGGGCAGUGGAGACUGGCAAGCAAAGCCAAGCGUUAGAGAUCCACGCAAAAGAAGGCAACUCCAACCUGUAUCCUGGUGGGGACACACACACCCCUUCCCUCUCCCUCUCUCCCCUUGCACCAGGGGCCUGGGCAGCCUGAACACAGCUCCCUCCUCGGAUGCGACCAGCAAGCAAACAAAUGUGGCGCUCUGGCUGGGAGGUGGCAGCACGGAGCCCUGGCUGAUUUCCUGAGAGUACAAUCAAGAAAACAACAAUGGAUGAUUGAACAAAUCAACCCAGAGAUUUCGUUUGAGGCACAAAUGGCAGGUUCAUGUUAUCCUACUUCAGGCACAUUAAGUGAAGUCCCAGGUCUCUGAAAAAGGCUUUAAUGUUGGGAAAGGUGGAAGGAAAGAGGAGAAGAGCAAAGUGAUGAACUCACAGUGGUGAUGGUGGCACCAUUGGGAAGCUUGAAAGAACAGGUUGGGGAUAUAUCAUCAUGGAGAAAACCCAACUAUGUGGUCACUGUGUCACCCACAUGGUUGCUCCACACAGAGGGUCCCUGCAAUGAGAUUGUAAAAUAGUGAUCUCUAAUGGGUUUGAGAGCCCUAGAAGCUGGAGGAAAAUCAUCCUGUCUUAGUUGUGGUUCAGCAUCUUCAAGCAGACACUGGAUUCACAUACUUCCUCUCUUAACUACUUUAGGAAGUUGCUUGUUAAUGAUUAUCUUGAUGUUAAGAACGUUCUGAAGGGCAAGUUUCAUCCUGACUGGAGAAUUUCUUUUACCCUGAAUGAAAAAAAGUUGUGAGUUUGUGGAUUAAGAAAAGAAAAAUAUUAAUUUUUAGAAAACAGUAAAAAAGGAACUAGAAUGUUAUUUCUGGAAAGUUAAGGUGCUAAAAUGGACUUGAAAAAUAUUUUCUGUGAGGUAUUUAAAAUGUUAUAAAAGAAUUAUGAAGAUUUUGAAAUUAACUGUGACAAAUCCACCCAUGUGAAAGUUUUGAUGAUUGGAAUCUAAACAUACAAUAUGAGAAGACUUUGACUGACUGGAAGAACCAGAGAGAACUAAAGAUUAUAAUCGAAGAACAAGAAAGCCAUUAAUACAAGGCUGUAUUAUGGAGCAAUAUCAUUUGACUAUAGAAGAAAUUAAGCUUAGGAACAAUGUAUUCAGAAAUUACUUACUUGUCUGAUAUUAUAAAGAUGGAUUUAACACAAGAUAUAGAAGAACAUAUUUUACUAGAUAAAACAGAGAAUGGGACUGAUUUGAAUGUGAAUUUGAAAAUGAAUUUUUUAAAAGUGCCAUGUUUGACAUGGAAAAAGAUGCUGAUUUGAAAAUAGGUUUAAAAAUGUCAGAAUGAUAUGGAAAAGGAUCCCACAAUGGAUUUCCAGUUGAAACCCGCUGAUGUCUUAAUAACUAAAGGGGACAUACAAAUAAGAAGAAUUCUUGGAUCUUUCUUAUUUUGGAUUUAUAAAAGGUAUGUGUUAAACUACUGAAGCUGUUCCUGAAAGAAGAAAAAGCUAAAAUGAUAACAAAUCAACUUGUAUGACAUUACCAAAGAUUAAAGACCAAGCUUUUUCAAAAUAAGAGAAGGAAUAUAAAAUGAACUUAUUUGACCAGGGAUAAAAUAUAUGUAUAGUAGUUUCUGAUAGUAAUUAAUAGAAUUUCUUUUUGACCAGGGUUGAAUAUCCGGCAUUAAAAAACUUUUUAUAAAUGGGAGAGAUUUCUUUUGCUUUAUCUCUUAGAGAAAAUGAUAUGUUAGAAUACAAAAUGGAUUUAUUUGAUUAAGGUUAAAAUAUAUGUGUUAUUGUUUCUGAUAGCUCUUACUAAACUUUUGCUGAUUAGAACUGAAUGAUGGAUUUUAUAUUGGAAGAAGAGAUCUCUUUAAUUGGAAUACUAGAGAAGAUGUUAAGUUACAUCUGAAGUUGUUUACACUUAUCUGGAGGCAGGGGGGAGUAUAUCUUUUUCUCCUUUUAUUUUUUCUAUCUCUGCACUUUUUUUUCUUUUUAUACUUUUCUUAUUGCGUAUUAGUAUUUGUAAACUUUAAGAAGAAUAUUUAAAAAAAAAUAAAAAAUGAAACCCUACUUUGUUCCAUCUAUUUGUCAAGUUAUUCCAAAGAUUCAUGCAACAAUGAUUCAAAUACAUCAUUUGGCCUUUCCAGGCAAACAAGCUUUUUAUAAUAAUAGAGACAAAAUACAGAUUAGUAAAUGCAAAACAAGAUAAGUAAGGUAAAAAUCUUGUUUCUCCACUCACCACACCCAGCAUUAAUGAAGUCAAAUACAUCUCUCAAUUCAAUUCCCAUGAAGGCUUGUAUAUUUUUUCAAUUCAAUUCGUAUAGUUUUUCUUUUUUUAUACUUAUAUAUAUGCUUAUAUAUCAUAUAGUUAUUUCAUGCUUACGCUUACAUAUACUAUUAUGUCAAAUAAAUAAAAUAAAUAAAGGCUGUUGACUGCUCUAAUGUAAUGUUUAAUGUUUCUCAACCUUAGCAACUUUAAUUCUGUGAGUUGAAAUUCACACAUCUUAAGCUUGCCAAGGUUGAGUUACACUGGUCUAAUGUGACUAGGCUGAAUUUGUUGACCUUGUUUGCAGAAUGAGAGAUAUGAACUAAAAAUCUUUCAGUUUUAUAAAACUAUGUAUUUUAAAGCAAGCUUUCCUAGUUUGCACUAAGAUAAGAGUCCCGUCCUCUUCUGUUACCAGGACUAGUGACUAAUCUAAAGUAACCUAGGUAUCCAUCUCAUUGGAUGGCACUUGAACUGCUUUACUAAUGAGAGCAAUCUCAAAUCCCCAUUUCCAGAAAUGAGGAAUAAGAGCCAGGAGACAAAAUUUUGAGGAAAAAAUAAGAAUAAAUUCUAUUAGUACUCAUGAUUUUAAAAUGAAAAUGGCCAAAAGUUUGGCAACAUAUCCAAACUCAAUAUGUAUAUCAAUUAACAAAUAUUAGAAAAAUAAAAUAUAUGAAAUCUUGAAAAGACUACCAAGUCUCAUAAAUGUUCAGUGAUUUUACACAGUAUGUAUACAGGAAUACUAAAGUUGUGUGUUGUCUCAUGAGACUUCCAGGUUCUUUCAUAAGCUCUCUUGAGAACUUUUGAGAUUCUGUGAAAGCACCAAGAAUCUGAGAAUUAAAGGAAAGGAUCACACUGUUACCUCACAAUAAUUUCAGUUUCAGCUGUUGCCCUCUCAAAUAUCCAGUAAGUUUCACAAAUAAAUGAACCAAACAAUGACCCUUUCAAUAAAGAUCACUCACUCUCUCUCGCACACACACAGCUAAAUUAUGCUUUCACAUAUAGUUCAGAAUUCUUUUUUUUCACAAAUGGAAAAACUGUAGUAUGAUAAGAGGAGAGUGAUUAGAGACAUGAACAUUACUGUUAAACCAUGAAGCAGAUUUUAUCUCUGGUUCAUGCCAGGCAACUUUCUAAAGAGCAACACCUCCAAAGGACUUAUUAUAACUGGAAAUCAGUCACCUUAUAGGGGAGAUA
Molecule: long non-coding RNA, 4272 nt
Organism: Ahaetulla prasina
Lineage: Eukaryota; Metazoa; Chordata; Lepidosauria; Squamata; Colubridae
Exons: 7
Source: RefSeq, a predicted model, not a curated record